CACUGUUGCUAUGUCUGCUUCUGGACAGGGGCUCAGUUCAGCAAGAACACAGGACCCUCACACUGUGGGCCAGAAGCUCUGCCAUGCAGGUCCUUGUCCUUCAUGCAGGUGACUGUGGCAGCCCUGUGAUAGGCAGAGGGAGGACACCACAUGCAUCCAGGUGGACUCUGAGUGGUUACGCAGAGCUGUUCCCCAGAGUUGUGGCUGUUGCCGGAGCGGGGUCCCCUCAGCUGCACUGUGGAGAAGCAGAGAUAAAGAGACCAGCAGCAGGCUGA
RNAcentral lists this long non-coding RNA (275 nucleotides) under Cavia porcellus (domestic guinea pig). RNAcentral describes it as "lncRNA (ENSCPOG00000038264.1)". The record is from RNAcentral. Lineage: Eukaryota; Metazoa; Chordata; Mammalia; Rodentia; Caviidae.